RNAcentral lists this small nuclear RNA (21 nucleotides) under Arabidopsis thaliana (thale cress). Its description in RNAcentral is "snRNA_13374". The record is from RNAcentral. Lineage: Eukaryota; Viridiplantae; Streptophyta; Magnoliopsida; Brassicales; Brassicaceae.
CCGUUCGGCGGAAGCGUCGUU